RNAcentral lists this long non-coding RNA (943 nucleotides) under Aotus nancymaae (Ma's night monkey). Its description in RNAcentral is "lncRNA (ENSANAG00000039071.1)". The record is from RNAcentral. Lineage: Eukaryota; Metazoa; Chordata; Mammalia; Primates; Aotidae.
GAUUUGACAAGGUGACCAUCUGUUUUCUCUUUCCCACUUAAUUACAAAAGGAAUGGUACUUGAAGCCCACCAAAAUACCCAGGGAGGAAUGGGAUUAUGACAUAUUCAUUUUCUCUGCAAAGUGCAAACCUAACACUUGCUCAUAUGGCCACAUUGAAGGGGAGCAGAAUUAGCACAUCUGCAACUGAUCUUCCACCACAGCUACUGGGACUGAAGUUAGUUAACCUGAAAACCUAAUGCCACUCAACGAAAGCCCAUUGAAGGGCACCCAAACCACUGGUAAAGCCUCCGUUUAGGAGAAACGAAUGCUCCAUUGGAUAACACCUUAUCUCACUGGCUUGCAUGAAAUCGUCUCCACUCAAGGUCUGAGUUUCUAUCGGCAGAGUUUGUUUGGUGAAAUAUGCUUGAAUCCAAGAGUACAGAAACAACCCCUUGUAAUGGAAAAUACAGAAGACUGGAAGUCGGAAUAUCUAGGUACCAGUUCCAGCCAGUGGAAUUACUCAUGAUCCUUUAAUUACACUGACCAAGACUUCAGAGGGCCUCUUUCUGGUGCUGUUAGCCAAAGCAGACUUACUGUGAGAAGAAACAGGGAAAGAAUAGACAUGCCAUGAGUGAACAAAAGCCUCUCAUUACUCCUCAGCAUUGUGGCCUGGGAAAACAGAUGCAUACUGCACUCUCUCUACAAUAAACGUAUAGCAUAUAACUACAAAUGAUGUGCUGUUUUAGUCCUUCCAGUGCCUAGAACUUGUGUUCUUGGUGUUGGGUCCACAUGACCCAACACCACUGAAAGUGAAGGGUGGGCAGGAGAAGGUAGGAAUUGAGCACCACUGAGAUCUCUUCGGUAGCUCUGAUCUUCCAACCCAUCUUCCUCUCCACUCCAACCAAAACACUUCUAACAGUCUUUAUGGGUGUUUUUACACUAAAACCAACAACAGAUCCCCAC